AGCAGCCGCGGUAAUUCCAGCUCCAAUAGCGUAUAUUAAAGUUGUUGCAGUUAAAAAGCUCGUAGCUGAAUUUCGGGAUCAAUAUUUCGGUCAUGCCGUUGGUAUGCACUGUUAUCAUUGAUUUCUCACCUUCUAAAGAACCGUAAUGCCAUUAAUUUGGUGUUACGGGGAAUUAGGACUGUUACCUUGAAAAAAUUAGAGUGUUUAAAGCAGGCUCACGCUUGAAUACAUUAGCAUGGAAUAAUGAAAUAGGACAUCGUAUUCUAUUUUGUUGGUUUCUAGGAUCGAUGUAAUGAUUAAUAGGGAUAGUUGGAGGCAUUAGUAUUCAAUUGUCAGAGGUGAAAUUCUUGGAUUUAU
This 357-nucleotide ribosomal RNA is filed under the name uncultured Funneliformis. RNAcentral describes it as "SSU rRNA". It matches the Rfam family "Eukaryotic small subunit ribosomal RNA", at positions 569 to 929 of the family's 1831-position model. Lineage: Eukaryota; Fungi; Glomeromycota; Glomeromycetes; Glomerales; Glomeraceae. The record is from RNAcentral.